UAAUAAAUAAUUAAAUCUUUUCUAUUAUGACAGAAUAAUGUAAUGGAUUUAAGACCCAUUUAU
Molecule: transfer RNA, 63 nt
Filed under: Profenusa thomsoni (ambermarked birch leafminer)
Lineage: Eukaryota; Metazoa; Arthropoda; Insecta; Hymenoptera; Tenthredinidae
Description: tRNA-Leu
Source: RNAcentral